GAACGCACCUUGCGCCCUUUGGUAUUCCGAAGGGCAUGCCUGUUUGAGUGUCAUGAAACCUCACCCCCACUUGGGUUUUUGCCUGAGCGGUGGUGUAUUGGGUGUUGCCAUCAGUGGCUCGCCUGAAAAGUAUAAGCGCCUUGGAUGUAAUACGUUUCAUCCUUAUGGGUGGCUGAUAACCCCACAUAUCUCAUGAUCUGGCCUCAAAUCAGGUAGGGCUACCCGCUGAACUUAAGCAUAUCAAUAAGCGGAGGAAAAGAAACUAACUAGGAUUCCCUUAGUAACGGCGAGUGAACCGGGAUGAGCUCAAAUUUGAAAUCUGGCGUCUUUCAGGCGUCCGAGUUGUAAUCUAUAGAGGCGUUUUCCGCGCCGGACCGCGUCCAAGUCUGUUGGAAUACAGUAUCAAAGAGGGUGACAAUCCCGUACUUGACGCGACAACCGGUGCUCUGUGAUACGUUCUCAACGAGUCGAGUUGUUUGGGAAUGCAGCUCUAAAUGGGUGGUAAAUUCCAUCUAAGGCUAAAUAUUGGCGAGAGACCGAUAGCGAACAAGUACCGUGAGGGAAAGAUGAAAAGCACUUUGGAAAGAGAGUUAAACAGCACGUGAAAUUGUUAAAAGGGAAACGAUUGAAGUCAGUCGUGUGGGAGGUAUUCAGCCGUCUCUGGCGGUGUAUUUGCCUCUCACGGGUCAACAUCAGUUUGGUCCGGUAGAAAAAGGCGGGAGGAAGGUGGCACCCUCGGGUGUGUUAUAGCCUCCUGUCAUAUGUGCCGGGUCAGACUGAGGAACGCAGCUUGCAGCAAUGCCGGGGUUCGCCCACGUACAAGCUAG
Molecule: ribosomal RNA, 827 nt
Filed under: Vishniacozyma carnescens
Lineage: Eukaryota; Fungi; Basidiomycota; Tremellomycetes; Tremellales; Bulleribasidiaceae
Description: eukaryotic LSU rRNA
Rfam family: Eukaryotic large subunit ribosomal RNA (bases 199-827)
Source: RNAcentral